GGAGUUAGCCGGUGCUUCUUCUGCGAGUAACGUCACAGAUGUAAGGUAUUAACUUACACCCUUUCCUCCUCGCUGAAAGUGCUUUACAACCCGAAGGCCUUCUUCACACACGCGGCAUGGCUGCAUCAGGGUUUCCCCCAUUGUGCAAUAUUCCCCACUGCUGCCUCCCGUAGGAGUCUGGGCCGUGUCUCAGUCCCAGUGUGGCUGAUCAUCCUCUCAGACCAUCUAGGGAUCGUCGCCUAGGUGAGCCUUUACCUCACCUACUAGCUAAUCCCACCUGGGCUUAUCCAUCAGCGCAAGGCCCGAAGGUCCCCUGCUUUCCCCCGUAGGGCGUAUGCGGUAUUAGCAGUCGUUUCCAACUGUUAUCCCCCACAAAUGGGCAAAUUCCCAGGCAUUACUCACCCGUCCGCCGCUCGUCAUCUUCAAAAGCAAGCUUUUGAAAUGUUACCGCUCGACUUGCAUGUGUUAGGCCUGCCGCCACGCGUCAUCUGAGCAUAAUACAACUACUGA
This 510-nucleotide ribosomal RNA is filed under the name uncultured bacterium. RNAcentral's name for it is "partial 16S ribosomal RNA". The record is from RNAcentral.